CCGCCCGGGGCGCGCCCCGGGCGGGGCGGGGGCACGGGGGUUGGAGGGCAAGUCUGGUGCCAGCAGCCGCGGUAAUUCCAGCUCCAAUAGCGUAUAUUAAAGUUGUUGCAGUUAAAAAGCUCGUAGUUGAAUUUCGGGAUCAAUAUGUUGGUCGUGCCUUGGUACGUACUGGCGUCAUUGGUUUCUACCUUCUGAAGAAC
RNAcentral lists this ribosomal RNA (200 nucleotides) under Glomus sp. DGGE gel band B15. Its description in RNAcentral is "partial 18S ribosomal RNA". It matches the Rfam family "Eukaryotic small subunit ribosomal RNA", at positions 482 to 707 of the family's 1831-position model. The record is from RNAcentral. Lineage: Eukaryota; Fungi; Glomeromycota; Glomeromycetes; Glomerales; Glomeraceae.